UACGUAGGGGGCAAGCGUUGUCCGGAAUCAUUGGGCGUAAAGCGCGUGUAGGCGGCUAGGUAAGUCUGCUCUGAAAGCCCGGGGCUCAACCCCGGGAGGCGGGUGGAUACUGUCUAGCUCGAGUCCGGAAGAGGAGUGUGGAAUUCCUGGUGUAGCGGUGAAAUGCGCAGAUAUCAGGAGGAACACCGGUGGCGAAGGCGGGUCUCUGGGCCGAUACUGACGCUGAGGAGCGAAAGCGUGGGGAGCGAACAGG
RNAcentral lists this ribosomal RNA (253 nucleotides) under uncultured bacterium. RNAcentral describes it as "partial 16S ribosomal RNA". It matches the Rfam family "Bacterial small subunit ribosomal RNA", at positions 524 to 776 of the family's 1533-position model. The record is from RNAcentral.